UUGUCUCAAAGAUUAAGCCAUGCAUGUCUCAGUACAAGCCAAAUUAAGGUGAAACCGCGAAAGGCUCAUUAAAUCAGUUAUGGUUCCUUAGAUCGUACCCACAUUUACUUGGAUAACUGUGGUAAUUCUAGAGCUAAUACAUGCAAACCGAGCUCCAACCGGAAACGGAAGGAGCGCUUUUAUUAGAUCAAAACCAAUCGGUGGCGGUCUCCGUCAUCGUACAAUUUGGUGACUCUGAAUAACUUUACGCUGAUCGCACGGUCUCGCACCGGCGACGCAUCUUUCAAAUGUCUGCCUUAUCAACUGUCGAUGGUAGGUUCUGCGCCUACCAUGGUUGUAACGGGUAACGGGGAAUCAGGGUUCGAUUCCGGAGAGGGAGCCUGAGAAACGGCUACCACAUCCAAGGAAGGCAGCAGGCGCGCAAAUUACCCACUCCCGGCACGGGGAGGUAGUGACGAAAAAUAACGAUACGGGACUCAUCCGAGGCCCCGUAAUCGGAAUGAGUACACUCUAAACCCUUUAACGAGGAUCAAUUGGAGGGCAAGUCUGGUGCCAGCAGCCGCGGUAAUUCCAGCUCCAAUAGCGUAUAUUAAAGUUGUUGCGGUUAAA
RNAcentral lists this ribosomal RNA (609 nucleotides) under Androsus violaceus. RNAcentral's name for it is "SSU rRNA". It matches the Rfam family "Eukaryotic small subunit ribosomal RNA", at positions 32 to 623 of the family's 1831-position model. Lineage: Eukaryota; Metazoa; Arthropoda; Insecta; Coleoptera; Tenebrionidae. The record is from RNAcentral.